Molecule: long non-coding RNA, 1620 nt
Filed under: Equus asinus (donkey)
Lineage: Eukaryota; Metazoa; Chordata; Mammalia; Perissodactyla; Equidae
Description: lncRNA (ENSEASG00005034880.1)
Source: RNAcentral
GAAGCUGGUGUAUUUUCACUUUGUCCCAGUGUUCUUAAAUUCUAUGAGAUGACCCAUCCAUUCUCCUGCCUGGAGCAUCAAAUCUCCUGUCUGGUUGCUGACAUUCUGGAGCUGAUGGUGGGGAGAAGAUUAGUGGUCUCAACAUUCAUAUGAUCUUGCCACUCUCCCUUCAAAAGGUAGAGCCUGUUUUCCCUUCCUUUGAGUCUGAUCUGUCCCUGUGACCUGUUUGGAAUCAAGUGAUACUGUGUAACAUCCAAGGAUGACCCUUAAGAGAUCUACAGCUUCCUCAUUCACUUUUUGGAGUGGUCCUUCUUAGAACUCUUAUGCUAUGUUGUGAAGAAGCUUAAGUAGCUAUGUGGAGAAUCCUAUCUGGAGUAGAACUAAAUGCUCCAGCUGAAAACUCUGGCUCAGCAACCUUCUGGCAGCCAGCCAUGUGAGUGUAAGCAUUUUGAACUUUCCAGAUAUCCUUCUGUCUCAGCCAACAUCGUGUGAAGCAGAAGAAAUGCCUGGUCAAUUCACAGACUCAUGGAAGAUAAUAAAUUGUUUUUGUAAGCCGCUAAAUGUUGGGAUGCUGGCUACAUACCAAUAGACAACUAAAAUACUAAGUUCAUGUGACAGUUUUUUCUUCAGGAUCUCUAACUGCCCAUGGUUUUGUAAUUUCAGAUGAGGACUAGCAAUACAGGUAUUAUGUCACCAUUUGGAAUGAUCUUUGAAAGUUUCAAGAUCUCUUUGAAGAGAAGUAAAGACUGAAGAGAGGUGAGGAGCAAUAAGCAGGUUGCCAAUACUGGAAGAGACAUCAUUUAGAAAAUAGUCUGAAUAAAAGUAAAAUUUCAUUCUCCUGAUGUUAAAGUCUCCAUAAUUUAACAGUGUACUGCCUUUCAGCUUGGCAUCCUCACAACUCACCUUUUGCUUUCUUACUACCAUUCCUUCGCCUUGUGGUUUCCUCUGCUUAAAAUGCCUUUCUCCUCUUGAAUUACUUGAUAAAUAUCCAUUAUUGUUGGAAGGCCAGCUCAAUUGCUACUUUCCCUGGAAAGACAUCACUGAUUCUCUCAGCCAAAAAUUCUGUAUAUGCCUGAAUAGGAGAUAAUAUCAAAAUUAGUGGAUAGAAUAAAAAAUGUUGGCUAACUCGAAUAAAUAAACUGUAGUGAUGUAAAUUGGUCGAAUGUCUAGUGAUAAUAUCAAAUGUAUUAAUGGAGUUACAUAGGCAUAUUUAAAAUCACAUUACAUAAAAUAUCAAUUAUUUUAGAAAUAGUCCUUUGUUUUAGUCUCGCAUUUUUGAAACAAUUUCUUUAAAUUCGGCACCUACAUCUUCAGCAUCAUUGUCUUCAUGAUCACUGAAGUCAUUCCUAUUGGUCCUCUAACAUAGUUUUCCAGGAGAUACCAUCUUCUUUUCCAACUACAUUCAAGACAUCCCACUUCCUGUGAUGUUGCUACUGGAGACAUAACCCAAGCUGCAAAAAUUCAUUUCUAUGUAAUUAGAACAGUGUUUUAUUUCUUUAUUUUCUAUUCUUUCCUUUAGGCGUAUAUUAGUGAUUUCCACAAAUUAAUCAUGUAUCAUCAUUUGCACAUGUAAGGUCACAUGCCCCUGGAAUAAUUACUGAAUCUAGGUAAAAUGUAUUU